This 249-nucleotide ribosomal RNA is filed under the name uncultured Lysobacteraceae bacterium. RNAcentral describes it as "uncultured Xanthomonadaceae bacterium partial 16S ribosomal RNA". It matches the Rfam family "Bacterial small subunit ribosomal RNA", at positions 355 to 596 of the family's 1533-position model. Lineage: Bacteria; Pseudomonadati; Pseudomonadota; Gammaproteobacteria; Lysobacterales; Lysobacteraceae. The record is from RNAcentral.
UGGGGAAUAUUGGACAAUGGGCGCAAGCCUGAUCCAGCCAUGCCGCGUGUGUGAAGAAGGCCUUCGGGUUGUAAAGCACUUUUGUUGGGAAAGAAAAGCACUCGGUUAAUACCCGGGUGUUCUGACGGUACCCAAAGAAUAAGCACCGGCUAACUUCGUGCCAGCAGCCGCGGUAAUACGAAGGGUGCAAGCGUUACUCGGAAUUACUGGGCGUAAAGCGUGCGUAGGGGGUUUGUUAAGUCAGAUGUG